Molecule: ribosomal RNA, 586 nt
Filed under: uncultured bacterium
Lineage: Bacteria
Description: bacterial SSU rRNA
Rfam family: Bacterial small subunit ribosomal RNA
Source: RNAcentral
GAACGCUGGCGGCAGGCUUAACACAUGCAAGUCGAGCGGUAACAGGGGGUGCUUGCACCCCGCUGACGAGCGGCGGACGGGUGAGUAAUGCUUAGGAAUCUGCCCAGUAGUGGGGGAUAGCCCGGGGAAACCCGGAUUAAUACCGCAUACGUCCUACGGGAGAAAGCAGGGGAUCUUCGGACCUUGCGCUAUUGGAUGAGCCUAAGUCGGAUUAGCUAGUUGGUGGGGUAAAGGCCUACCAAGGCGACGAUCCGUAGCUGGUUUGAGAGGAUGAUCAGCCACAUCGGGACUGAGACACGGCCCGAACUCCUACGGGAGGCAGCAGUGGGGAAUAUUGGACAAUGGGGGCAACCCUGAUCCAGCCAUGCCGCGUGUGUGAAGAAGGCUUUCGGGUUGUAAAGCACUUUCAGUGAGGAGGAAAACCUUACGGUUAAUAACCGUGAGGCUUGACGUUACUCACAGAAGAAGCACCGGCUAACUCCGUGCCAGCAGCCGCGGUAAUACGGAGGGUGCAAGCGUUAAUCGGAAUUACUGGGCGUAAAGCGCGCGUAGGUGGUUCGAUAAGCGGGAUGUGAAAGCCCCGGGC